This 486-nucleotide ribosomal RNA is filed under the name uncultured bacterium. RNAcentral describes it as "partial 16S ribosomal RNA". It matches the Rfam family "Bacterial small subunit ribosomal RNA", at positions 29 to 507 of the family's 1533-position model. The record is from RNAcentral.
AUUGAACGCUGGCGGCAUGCCUUACACAUGCAAGUCGAACGGCAGCACGGGUGCUUGCACCUGGUGGCGAGUGGCGAACGGGUGAGUAAUACAUCGGAACAUGUCCUGUAGGGGGGGAUAGCCCGGCGAAAGCCGGAUUAAUACCGCAGACGAUCUACGGAUGAAAGCGGGGGACCUUCGGGCCUCGCGCUAUAGGGUUGGCCGAUGGCUGAUGAGCGAGUGGGUGGGGGAAAGGCCUACCAAGGCGACGAUCAGUAGCGGGUCUGAGAGGACGACCAGCCACACUGGGACUGAGACACGGCCCAGACUCCUACGGGAGGCAGCAGUGGGGAAUUUUGGACAAUGGGCGAAAGCCUGAUCCAGCAAUGCCGCGUGUGUGCAGAAGGCCUUCGGGUUGUAAAGCACUUUUGUCCGGAAAGAAAUCCUUGGCCCUAAUACGGUCGGGGGAUGACGGUACCGGAAGAAUAAGCACCGGCUAACUACGUG